AUGGGGGAACCCCGGGCUGGGGCCCCCCUGGACGAUGGCAGUGGCUGGACAGGAAGUGAGGAAGGAAGUGAGGAGGGCACCGGCGGUAGCGAGGGGGCUGGGGGCGAUGGGGGCCCGGACGCAGAAGGUGUGUGGAGUCCAGACAUCGAGCAGAGCUUCCAGGAGGCCCUGGCCAUCUACCCGCCAUGCGGCCGGUGGAAAAUCAUCCUGUCUGAUGAAGGCAAGAUGUAUGGUCGGAAUGAGCUGAUUGCCCGCUACCUCAAGCUGAGAACAGGGAAGACCCGAACUCGCAAACAGGUCUCUAGUCACAUCCAGGUUCUGGCUCGAAGGAAAUCAAGGGAAAUCCAGUCCAAGCUCAAGGACCAGGUUUCCAAGGACAAGGCUUUCCAGACCAUGGCCACCAUGUCCUCAGCCCAGCUCAUCUCAGCACCUUCCCUGCAGGCCAAACUGGGCCCUGCUGGUCCUCAGGCUUCUGAGCUUUUCCAGUUUUGGUCGGGGGGCUCUGGCCCCCCCUGGAAUGUUCCAGAUGUGAAGCCAUUCUCGCAGACACCAUUCUCCUUGUCACUGACCCCCCCAUCUACUGACCUCCCAGGGUACGAGCCCCCCCAAGCCCUGUCACCCCCUGCCCUGCCCCCACCUGCCCCAUCACCCCCAGCCUGGCAGGCUUGGGCCCUGGGCACUGCCCAGUUGCAGCUGGUGGAGUUCUCAGCCUUUGUGGAACCGCCCGAUGCCGUUGAUUCUUACCAGAGGCACCUGUUCGUACACAUCAGCCAGCACUGCCCCAGCCCUGGAGCGCCCCGCCUCGAGAGUGUGGACGUCCGGCAGAUCUAUGACAAAUUCCCUGAGAAAAAGGGCGGCCUUCGGGAGCUGUACGAUCGCGGGCCCCCUCCCGCCUUCUUCCUGGUCAAGUUCUGGGCGGACUUGAACUGGGGCCCAAGUGGCGAGGAGGUAGGGGCUGGUGGCAGCGGCGGUGGCUUCUACGGAGUGAGCAGCCAGUACGAGAGCCUGGAGCACAUGACCCUCACCUGUUCCUCCAAGGUCUGCUCCUUUGGCAAGCAGGUGGUGGAGAAGGUGGAGACGGAGCGUGCCCAGCUGGAGGAUGGGAGGUUUGUAUACCGCCUGCUGCGCUCACCCAUGUGUGAGUACCUGGUGAAUUUCUUGCACAAACUGCGACAGCUGCCCGAGCGCUAUAUGAUGAACAGUGUCCUGGAGAACUUCACCAUCCUCCAGGUGGUGACAAACAGAGACACCCAGGAGCUGCUGCUCUGCACCGCCUACGUCUUUGAGGUCUCCACCAGUGAGCGGGGGGCCCAGCACCACAUUUAUCGCCUGGUCAGGGACUGAAAGGGGACCCCAAAAGUGGCUCACCCCCUGGAAUACCCUCCUCCCAGGAAGUACCUCCAGCUUUCUUCAUGCUCAUUUGGGGAGGGGGCUGCUCCGUGUUAGAGGACCUUAAAAGCUGGGUGGUGAGUUGAAAAGAUGGGUUCUGAUACUGGGACCUCACAGUGGUAGCUGAAAGGACAGAUCACUCCAGAGCAUCAGGGACUGGGGACAGGAGUGAGACAGCCCCGAGGUACAGCACUGGUUUCUCAGUCUCUAACAGGCGCCCUCCCCCAACUUGGUUCUGGAUGUUUUGGAUGGCCUUAGAAAGUAUGUUGGUUUGUCCCUCUGUUUUUCAGCACCCCCCCUUCCCAAUCUGCCUCUCUUUACCACCCCCAACCCUGUGAUCUUGAGAUCAAAUACUGAAGGUUAACCCUUUGUGCAGGAGCAGAGCCAGGUGGGCCCUGGAAAUAUUUUUUUUAAUAUAACAAGAGAUAUUUAUAAGUGGGUAUUAGAGCAAGCUGUGGGGUGAGGCUUUUAAAUGUCAUCCUCUCUUCUCAAUAAGACAUGGGCUAUAUACUGUGUUGCCUCCCC
Molecule: non-coding RNA, 1914 nt
Organism: Callorhinus ursinus (northern fur seal)
Lineage: Eukaryota; Metazoa; Chordata; Mammalia; Carnivora; Otariidae
Source: RefSeq, a predicted model, not a curated record